UGGUAGUNCACGCCGUAAACGAUGAGUGCUAGGUGUUAGGCCCUUUCCGGGGCUUAGUGCCGGAGCUAACGCAAUAAGCACUCCGCCUGGGGAGUACGACCGCAAGGUUGAAACUCAAAGGAAUUGACGGGGGCCCGCACAAGCGGUGGAGCAUGUGGUUUAAUUCGAAGCAACGCGAAGAACCUUACCAGGUCUUGACAUCCCGAUGCUAUUCUUAGAGAUAGGAAGUUACUUCGGUACAUCGGAGACAGGUGGUGCAUGGUUGUCGUCAGCUCGUGUCGUGAGAUGUUGGGUUAANNNNNNCAACGAGCGCAACCCUUAUUGUUAGUUGCCAUCAUUAAGUUGGGCACUCUAGCGAGACUGCCGGUAAUAAACCGGAGGAAGGUGGGGAUGACGUCAAAUCAUCAUGCCCCUUAUGACCUGGGCUACACACGUGCUACAAUGGUCGGUACAACGAGUUGCGAGCCGGUGACGGCAAGCUAAUCUCUGAAAGCCGAUCUCAGUUCGGAUUGGAGGCUGCAACUCGCNUCCAUGAAGUCGGAAUCGCUAGUAAUCGCGGAUCAGCACGCCGCGGUGAAUACGUUCCCGGGCCUU
This 594-nucleotide ribosomal RNA is filed under the name uncultured bacterium. RNAcentral describes it as "bacterial SSU rRNA". It matches the Rfam family "Bacterial small subunit ribosomal RNA", at positions 788 to 1382 of the family's 1533-position model. The record is from RNAcentral.